GUCCAUGCCGUAAACGAUGUCAACUAGCCGUUGGGGGAUUUGAUCCUUUAGUGGCGCAGCUAACGCGAUAAGUUGACCGCCUGGGGAGUACGGUCGCAAGACUAAAACUCAAAUGAAUUGACGGGGGCCCGCACAAGCGGUGGAGCAUGUGGUUUAAUUCGAUGCAACGCGAAGAACCUUACCUGGUCUUGACAUAGUGAGAAUCCUGCAGAGAUGCGGGAGUGCCUUCGGGAAUUCACAUACAGGUGCUGCAUGGCUGUCGU
This 263-nucleotide ribosomal RNA is filed under the name uncultured bacterium. RNAcentral's name for it is "partial 16S ribosomal RNA". It matches the Rfam family "Bacterial small subunit ribosomal RNA", at positions 793 to 1055 of the family's 1533-position model. The record is from RNAcentral.